UUGUAAUAUUAGAGUUACCUACCUUUGACUUGACAGGUACCCGCUGCAAUUUACUUUUAUUUCUUCGCAAGUUUUGUAUUUGCUACAAGUCUCAGAUAACCUGAAGGAGACUGGGGGAUAACUAUGGAUCCAAUCCCCAUAUCCCUGGAACCAUCUUUGGAGAGAGAGAUGACAUGGUCAGAACAUCUUUGAGAUGUUGUUGCUAUAACAAAUAACCAUAACCUUUUUUACUCAAUAUCAUGAAGAAGAUGUUUGAGUUGUCCAAGGAACAUAGCCACUGAGGUAAACUGCCUUCAGAAAGGAAAAGUACUUGACCUUUUAUCCUCUGCCUAUUUGGGACAAGUGCUUUGCAAAAAGAGUUUCUUUGUGAAGUCAGCUUUGUAUGUUUGGAGGAUGGAGACCACCAGUACAGGUUCAGAUCAGUACUCUGUAUGUUUCAGUAUGUUUCAGUGACCAAUACUCACCACUGUGUGGGACAUUUCAGUGACCAAAACUCAUCAUUGUGUGGGACGUUUUAGUGACCAAAACUCACCAUUGUGUGGGACAUUUCAGUGACCUCUACCUUCCAAGUUUACAUGAUAGUUCCCCCUUAGCACCAGGUGAACAGAAAAGCUGACAUAGAUGUCUAAGGAUUGGGGAAACAGGCAUAUUGAUGACAUGGCUAGCACUUCACACAAAGCUGCUGGUGUGCCGGGAAAUACACAGACGGGUUUUGGUGAUGACCUUAACAUUGAAGAUGGAAGCACCCAGAAAAGUGAUUCAUACACUUCAGAUCCAGAGGAAAAUAUACAGGCACCAACGCCACCAAUGUCAAAUUCAGGAGCACACACAUCCUCAGUUAAAAAUUCACAAGCACUUUCACCCACUGGGGACAAUUCACAAGCACUUUCACCAACAGGGGACAAUUCACAAGCGCUUUCACCCACAGGGGACAAUUCACAAGCACUUUCAUCCAGAGGGGACAAUUCACAAGCACUUUCAUCCACAGGAGACAAUUCACAAGCACUUUCACCCACGGGGGACAAUUCACAAGCACUUUCACCCACGGGGGACAAUUCACAAGCACUUUCAUCCACAGGGGACAAUUCACAAGCACUUUCAUCCACAGGGGACAAUUCACAAGGACUUUCACCCACAGGGGACAAUUCACAAGCACUUUCAUCCACAGGGGACAAUUCACAAGUACCUAAACAUUCAGAAGACUAUUCAGAAUCCAAAGCAGAGAAAAAGACUUUGACACACUCUGGCACAGAAGCUCAGAACAAACACCCUGACACAAACUUCAAAGAUGUGUUAUCAGACAGAGCAGACGGUCAAUGUUCCCUGUCAUCUGCUGGAUCACACACUUGUGAGCAGAUGGAUGAAAUGUCCUCACACAGUCCCACUCUGACACAUGAUGAGGGAGAAUCCUGCAAUGAAAGCACAUUGGCCUUGACUCAGCAUUGGACUUCACAACACGAUGAUAAGCUGAAACACCAUCAGUGUGAUGUUUGUGAGGAGAAGUUUAAAGAUUUAGACGAAUUCAGGGAGCACCUUCUUUCCCACAAGGGGAAGACAUUUUAUUUGUGCGACUUAUGUGAUAAGACAUUCGAAAGCCCAGAUCAGCUUGAAUGUCACAGUACAUCACAUGAUGAUAUAGACAGUUGCCAUGGUGACAAGGGAACACAUUACCCCGAAGAAUCAUUACAGAUGCUAGACUCAAAAACAUGGACUCUACAGAAACGCAAACGAAUGCAUUUGGAAGAAAAACAUUUUGUCUGUGUUGUUUGUGAGAAGUCCUUUGGGCAGAAGGAGAACCUUAAGAUUCACAUGCGUUCUCACACCCAGGAUAAGCCGUUCAUGUGUGACGUCUGCCAGAAGAGCUUCGUCAGGGCAGGGGACCUCCAGAAGCAUGUGAGGAUUCACACUGGAGAAAAACCUUACCAGUGUGAAAUAUGUUCCCAGAGGUUUAUACGCUCAGACAGACUUAAAGAGCACAUGCGAAUACACACAGGCGAGAAAAUCUACGAGUGCAAAAUAUGUGACCUGAAGUUUGAUGGAUUCAAAGAAAAGCGGGAACAUAGCAAGAUACAUGCUGAUCACAAAACUCAUGUUUGUGAAUUUUGUGAGAAGAAAUUCAAGUGUUCGAGUACGUUAAUGAGUCAUCGUCGUAGUCACACCAAGGAGAAGCCAUUUGCUUGUGUUGUCUGUGGUGUUGCUUUUAGCCUCUAUGGGACUCUGAAAGUCCACAUGCGACAACAUACGGGAGAACGCCCAUAUAAGUGUGAAAUCUGUGAGAAGAGUUUUUACCAAGUUGGAGACCUGAUCCGACACAAAGAAGUUCAUUCUGAUGCUCGUCCACAUAAAUGUGAUAUUUGUCAGAAGGGAUUCAAGCGGGCUCAGUCUUUACAGAGACAUAUAAAAACCCACACAGGUGAAAAAAAUCACCAUUGUGAAACAUGUGAGAAAAGUUUUACUGAUGUUUCUGAUUUGAAAGCCCACAUUAAGAUUCACAGUGACUUCAAACCAUUUAUCUGUGAGCUCUGCGGGGCAGGGUUUAGACGGGCAAGCCAUCUCGCCUCACACACCAGGUACCACACUGGAGACAAACCUCAUCAGUGUGAUGUGUGCCAGAAGUAUUUCUCCACCACUGCCCAUCUUAAGAACCAUACCCGAACCCACACUGGUGAGAGGCCAUUUUUGUGCCAGGAGUGUGGCAAGGCGUUUAGUGACAGGAGUGUUUUGCGGAAACACAUGGUCGUCCAUACAGGCGAAAAGAAAUAUCAUUGUGACAUGUGUGGACACUCCUUCACUGCUUCACACUCCCUGAAAAGCCACAUUCAGAUUCAUAUCGGGGACAAAACCUUUAAAUGUGAAAAGUGCGACAAGGCUUUUCUGAAUGCAAGGAGACUCAAAGAACAUGUAAAAACUCAUGACAAAGCGUUUAGGUGUGAUGAAUGUGGGAAAUAUUUCUCCUUACCCGUUGGUCUCAAGCGUCACAUGAUCAGGAAGCAUGGCGAUAAUCCAACUGAGCUAACCAGUGGUCUGAUGGAGGAAGAUGAGGCGGCAGAAGUCAGCUAGCGGACCCGGACAGGAGGGCUCCCCCAGAUGAUGAGAUGUUAGGUCGCAAAGAUUCUUGAAACAAAUGGACCCAGACCGAUCACCAACAAACUGCAGCUACCAAGGAACAAGUAUUGAUACUGUUAUGACAUCACAAGAACCAUGUAGUGAUCAGAAGGACAUCGCCACAAGAAGAAAAAAACAUAUUGCCUGUGGUUCCAAAGAUCCAGCAUUGGUAGGCACCCAGAAUCUGUUGCUAUGGUUGCAAAGGUUCAGCCAAGGGGGACCAGCAUUUGUAGGCAACCCAAGUCUAUUGCUGUUGUGCCAGAUUUCCAGCGUUGGUAGAUAUGCUGAGUCUAUGGCUGUUGUGCCAGAUUUCCAGCAUUGGUAGACAUGCUGAGUCUAUGGCUGUUAUGCCAGAUUUCCAGCAUUGGUAGACAUGCUGAGUCUAUGGCUGUUGUGCCAGAUUUCCAGCAUUGGUAGACUUGCUGAGUCUAUGGCUGUUUCGCUGUGGAUUGCUGCAAGGUUGCUGAUCCUGCAUUAAACAGUAAUCACUCACUGACUCCCCCCCCCCCCCCCCCCCCCCCCUCUGCUGUUGCACGGAAGAUUGAUGAGCUCUCUGUACCUCGUGACAGCUGUUGGAGUUUGAGGGAGGUCUGUAGUGUUAACCCACAGGACCACUGAACUGGAUGGUGUUGUACAUAGAUGCAACAGUGGGCUUCCAACAAUGUGCAUCUCCAAGGACGCUUUUUGUAAUCGUCAUAUUCUUUUUGGGUAGCUUUCACAUAUUUUCAUCACUUGACAAGAACUUGUUAUUCUCUGGACUUUCUCAUGUAGAAUUGCUACUUCCUUAAGGGUCUUGUUUUUGCUCAGCUGACCUAUAGCAAUGUUACAAUGUUCCCAUGUAUGAUAUCAUAUUACCAUAUAUUCUGGUAUAUAUGUUUGUUUGAGUGAUAGUAAAUGAAGCAGAGCGGGUUUGGAAAAUGACUUUCUGCAACCUAGAAUAUGCCUGUACCAUCUGUAUACUCAUAGCUAUACUCAUCAGGUAGCCCAUGUGUUGUGGAGGCACAUUAUAAUCUCCUCAAGGUCUGGUUGACAUUGUUGAUGCCGUGGGCAUGUGUUAGGAAAAUAGUGUUGUUGUAAUUAAGUUGUGAUCAGUUUCAGCCCAAUGUCUGGACUAGAUGUAAUGGAUUUGGCAGGAUGGUGUUUAUGGGCAAGACAUCCUAUCCUUGCAUGUAUUCAACAACCCAAAUCAUUUCCUGACGUGGAAUUUACAGGCGAUCUCUGGCAUGUCUGAUUGAAUACAUGGAGGAUGUGGGUGGUGCAAGGGGAGACAACCUGCUUGUAGAUCAGGCAUGGUGAUUUGGGAAGCUGGGUGCAACACUGCAGCGUGGACUUCGGAAGACGUGUUUGUGAGAUGGUUUUGUCAUUUCAAGCUAAAUGCUUUCCCAUUCAUGAUGGUAACCAGAUCCCGGCUCAUCAUGCUGUAAAAAACCUCCUUCAUUAUGAAGGCAUGGCAUUCCAAUUUCAUGUUGUCAAAAUUGUUUUAUGAGCAGGAAAUGUGUUGUCGUUUAUUGCAAUAUUUUCAAGAGCACACUUGACAUGAAUCAAAAUAAUUUUCUUUGAAAACAAUAAUUUGGUCAGGUUUUUCUUGUUAAAAACUGAAUCAGCAUUGUUUUGUUUCAUGUAUAAAUUGUUUUUUGUUUUUUGUUCUUGUUUUUCAGAGGGAUGUUUGCAUGCAUAUCUAUGAAUUAUUUAGAGGAAUAUUUAAGGGCUACUUGCAACAGCUGAAGCUAAGCAAUAAUUCAUUUGAAUUUUUGCAGUUGUGUUGCAAUCGAACAAAAAAGCACAACUCUGAUAUACCCGCUUGGAAUGCUUUUGACAGGCCAACUUGGUCCAUUGUGAGUUGGGUUUAAUGUCUCAUUGAACAGUCAUACUGAAACUUCAAAUCCCACAUGGUUACACUGUGUGGAGCUCAUUUCUGGUGACCUUCACAUUGAUAUCAUCAGAAUUCUGCUAAAAGCAGAGUUAACUCAACUCACUCACUAAAUUCAGCAGAGCUUCCUGGUUUAGUGUGUCAUGGGUUGAUGCUCACACCGUCAACCACUGGUUUGCCUGCUCCAUAGCAUGCUGCUUGUAGGGAAGUGGGACAUCAUCGAGUGGGUUGAUGCUCACACCGUCAACCCCUGGUUUGCCCGCUCCCUACCAUGCUGCUUGUAGGGAAGUGGGACAUCAUCGAGUGGGUUGAUGCUCACACCGUCAGCCCCUGGUUUGCCCGCUCCAUACCAUGCUGCUUGUAGGGAAACGGGACAUCAUCGAGUGGGUUGAUGCUCAUACCGUCAACCACUGGUUUGCCCACUCCAUACCAUGCUGCUUGUAGGGAAACGGGACAUCAUCAAGUGGGUUGAGUAAUAGGGAUAUUACCACUUUUUAACUGUUAUUCACUCUGUAGUUCGGAAUGUGUUGUAAUGUUGUAUUGAGUUGUUGUGAUAGUGUAGAUAUCAGUUUUAUGACAACCUGGCGCAGUAGGUUUGUAAUGACUGUGGUGCUGGUGAUGUGUAGAGUCCCUGGAAAUACCUGCCGUAUAGCAUAUUAUAUACCAUGCAGAUAUAUACAAUAGGUGGAAAUGUACCUGGAAAAACCUGCCAUAAAGCAUAUUAUAUACCAUGCAGAUAUAUACAACAGGUGGAAAUGUACCUGGAAAUACCUGCCGUAUAGUAUAUUAUAUACCAUGCAGAUAUAUACAAUAGGUGGAAAUGUACCUGGAAAUACCUGCCAUAUAGUAUAUUAUAUACCAUGCAGAUGCCAGAUGUAUACAAUAGGUGGAAAUGUACCUGGAAAUACCUACUGUAUUGUAUAUUAUAUACCAUGCAGAUAUAUACAAUAGGUGGAAAUGUUAUUUCAAAUGAUAAAUAUUAUUUUGUUGCUGAUCAAUUUUAUAAGAAUCUGUUUUUAAUUUUUUAAUUUUAGUGCAAAUCUGCUUCACAUUUGCAGCUGUUUCUCUUCCAUGCAGUGGAUCUGUAGUUAUAAUCAGGCUUGUGAUGUUGUGAAGAACAGUCUGUGCAAGUUGUAUAUUGUUUUGUAUGAAUUAGGGAUAAUAAAUAUCAUUUUAUUGUGAA
RNAcentral lists this unclassified non-coding RNA (6158 nucleotides) under Haliotis rufescens (red abalone). RNAcentral describes it as "zinc finger protein 345-like, transcript variant X1". Lineage: Eukaryota; Metazoa; Mollusca; Gastropoda; Lepetellida; Haliotidae. The record is from RNAcentral.